CUCUGUUGGUGUGUGGGCUCGUCGGUGUAAGCUCACAACCUCAACUCUCCCAAGUGUUCACUCUCCAGAAUUGUCAACCCCCUCCCCCGUUGGGCCAGGGGAGGUAUUUAUAGCCUUCACUUGUUGUUAUUGGGCCUCGUGGGCUUGUACGGUCAGCCCCGUUCGUCCACUCGUCCGCCCGCCCGUCCGUCCGCCUGGGCCGUCCGGUCCGGUUCGGUCCAUGGGCCGCGGUCCGCGGUCCAUGGUACCAACAA
Molecule: long non-coding RNA, 254 nt
Filed under: Zostera marina
Lineage: Eukaryota; Viridiplantae; Streptophyta; Magnoliopsida; Alismatales; Zosteraceae
Description: long non-coding RNA (ZMAR_LNC005838)
Source: RNAcentral